UCACGCGUCAAGAAACGUUAAAUAAUUUAGUUAGGAGUUAAUAUCAGUAAUUUUCGUCGCAUAACUCGUGCUCUACGUGAAAUUUUGGUCAGAAAUCAUGUAUCAGAAUGCUUAACGUCGUACCUUGUCCAUGUCUAGCGAUCCAUUUGCGGACUUCACUAGAAAUCAUGCCCGCAACGUUAGUAGAAGGAACCGCUACAGUAAAACCUAUGUCAUGUGAUCUGCAUGUGUCCUGUGAGGGAACAAUUUGAUUCCGAUAUGACGAAGUCUGUCUCGUUUAAAUAAUCUGUAAAGUUUUUUUUUUUCCUCCCCUUUUUUUCCACGUCACCGUGCACGCAAACUCGAGUCGGUAUAAAACGACGGUCCAUCAGUGAAGAGCGAGUUUACUCGUUUCAGGUGUGCAGAAUUCACCCGAUGUUCGGAUUUCAGCUCUUGAAUUUGAUUUUUUUCACCGGCCAUGUGUCGUGCGGUGGUAACACACCUCCAAGAGGAAGUUAUUCCGAAGGUUAUGUCAGUGCGCCUAGGAAGAUUGUCAAUAGUUCAAUCUGGCGGGCUCCUUCCUCUAGAAAAGAUGGACCCCUCUGCGAAGCCUCACUAGCGUCAGAUGGGUCCCAGGAAGCCCACGUGCUCUGCCAUUCCGCCUGCUUGUCCAUCGCGCUCCAAGCUGACGUCAUUCGGGAUCAUUACUCGGCGCACAGCGUCAUGGCUAGAUAUACCGCCGAUCAGUGCUCCAGCUUCACCGAGGGCCGGUGUUUCAACGUCACCAACUGGAAGGGGAUCAGCAUCUCCGCCUGUUGGUGUAGGGCGGCUAAGAAAAAUGGCGCCCCGCUCUCGCCUGUCGCAAGGGCAUGAACUUGGGGCGAAACCUCGAAAACGCCAAGAUUAUGGCCGGCAACGUCUGGGACGUCAACAUCAAGCCGGCUUUGCCGUCACUUCCCAGGCGGUUACUUAAGGCGUGGUCCAGACCAGAGAACCAGAGGCUUCAGCCAAGAGAGUGAGGAAGAUUGGCAGUGCGGGAUUAUACUGCCGUGCUAAGAAGAACGCCGUACACAGAAAAAAAUAGAUGGUGCUGACCACAGAACCUUCUGUUCACAGGGCUCCUGCAGUUUCUUUGUUACACUUACAGAAUUUUUCUGUUGUGAGAAUAGAACUUCGGUCGUGGAAACAGAGUACUCUGUCCUCAUUACGGAAGCUUCUGUGAAUGUUACAAAAGAGGUGCAGGAGCCCUGUGAACAGAGAUAUUUUUUUCAGUGUAUGA
Molecule: long non-coding RNA, 1258 nt
Filed under: Bemisia tabaci
Lineage: Eukaryota; Metazoa; Arthropoda; Insecta; Hemiptera; Aleyrodidae
Description: lncRNA ENSSSA2NGG011982
Source: RNAcentral